Zootermopsis nevadensis is the source of this 65-nucleotide non-coding RNA. The record is from Rfam. Lineage: Eukaryota; Metazoa; Arthropoda; Insecta; Blattodea; Termopsidae.
GGCACGGUGGUCUAGCGGUUAGAACGCUGGCCUUGGGGUCUCGGGUUCGAUUCCCGGCGGUGCCC